AUGAUGAUCUUCUGUUCCUUCUGCGCAAUCUCAUCAUUCUGUGCCACUCCCCAGUCCUCUGGCUGUCGUCUUCCUCAGAGCCGAGGCUGUGCUACUUGCUGCAGUGGUGGAGAAGGGCUGGGUGUGAGUCAUGUUUCAUUUUCCUCUCCCCAGCAAAGCRCCCGACCAGAGAAGCAACGUGGAUGGCAGAGUCAGUAUUGCUCAGACAGAGAAUUCUCGCAGCCUAGAGACGUGGGGAAGCGAGGCAGAAAUCCUGGUGCCCAGCGCUGUGGUUCUGAAGACAUAAAAUUCUCUCCAGUCAUUAACCGAUACAACAGAAGAGUAUCAGGUAUGAUUUCCUUUUAAGAAUUUCAUAUGUUUUUGAAAAGCUUUGAAAUAUGUAUUUGACCAAAGCAAUUGCUUAUGUUAAGAAUGACCUUCUUACUCUUCAUCACUGUGUUUUAUUGUUCAUACUUCUUACAGUCUUUUCAUUUGAAAUAAUCAGAACUGUUUCUUAAUACCCUUUAGAUUGUUUUAGAUUGUUAAUUGUUUCUUAAUUCCCUUCACUGGGCAACAAAUUAUGAGAGUAGUUUAGAAAGCAGUUCUGUGGUGGUUGACAGAAUACUGAAGCAAUUUCAGCACUACUAACAAUUCUGUCCAGAAAAACUUCCCAAAAGUUCUGCGCAAUGUAGGAAUGAUGGAAAAGCUUGCUUUAAUAUGAAUUGGAAAAGUGGCCGCUUCUUUCUGCUGGAACACAUCUCCUAAUAUUUCAUAUUGCUAACAGUUUUAUCUCUGGUCAAAAUACAGAAAUACUGGUGUUUUUGUUUUCUUUUUCUCAGAUUUUAUUGUUUUAUUGUUUAGUAUUAACCAGAAGUGAUGGAUGUUGCAGGACCUUGAGCCCUUUGCUUAUGUAACUGGUAUUUAAAGUCAUUGAAAUUGUGGCCCUCCAUUUGUUCUGGAGACACAGACUGUACUUUUUUGGUCUUAUUAACCAAUAUUAAAUCCUUUAAUGAUUUGCUGUUGGUGUUUUUAGCUGUGUCAUUCCCCAAAAUUCUUUUUAAAGUUGUCUUUGAGCAGUAUCAUAUGAGCAAAAUGUUAAAUAUAGAUGAGAAGGUAUCGUGUCAUUUUUCCUUCAAAGUGCAGUGUGGAUUGCACUACAUAUGUUUCUUGAUUCCCCACCCUCCCACCCACCUCAGUCUACCUCAUUGUAGAAUUUAACUGGUAUAGAAAGUCAUUAUGAUUCUGAUUUGAAAAAUCAGUUUAAUAAUGCCAAUGUGUUCAGUGUUUCCUCUCUAAUUUUCAGGUCAAGUCCACUAGGUUUGUAACUCUUGUAUAUUAUCCAUGCCAUUCUUCGGCAUUAUGGUUAUGGUGGGAUCUUGCUGAUAAAUGAGCAGAGGCCGUUUGAAUUAUAUAUGCAUGUUUAACUUUAUAUGCAAAAUGUCUUCAUUCCCAUGCAAUACAGUUGCUUUACUACUAGUUGCUUGGGUAUGAUCAAGGAGGUAACUACAUAGGUAUGUCGCUGUGUAAAUGUGACUAUAAUGAAAACUUCAUAAUUCUUAUAAUUCAAAAGUGCUGGUAGUUUUGGUAUAUUAUUACAUGAGAAAUUUAGACAAGACAAAACCGUAUCUUGAAGGAUGGAGCUAGAUAUUCUAAUAGUAAAUAUUUGAAGUCAUAAAUUGUACAGCAUCUUUAUCCAGAGAGUCCAAAGAUAUUUUCAUUUCCUUGUUAAUUAAACUAAUGCAUCCUGGUGUCUGCUGAUGGAAUAAAACCUGACAAGUGAGAAGUGAAUGCA
RNAcentral lists this long non-coding RNA (1771 nucleotides) under Apteryx haastii (Great spotted kiwi). RNAcentral's name for it is "lncRNA (ENSAHAG00000009569.1)". Lineage: Eukaryota; Metazoa; Chordata; Aves; Apterygiformes; Apterygidae. The record is from RNAcentral.